ACACCGGCAGCUCAAGUGGUGGCCAUUUUUAUUGGGCCUAAAGCGUUCGUAGCCGGCUUGAUAAGUCUCUGGUGAAAUCCCAUAGCUUAACUGUGGGAAUUGCUGGAGAUACUAUUAGGCUUGAGGCCGGGAGAGGUUAGGGGUACUCCCAGGGUUUAAGGGUGAAAUCCUAUAAUCCUGGGAGGACCACCUGUGGCGAAGGCGCCUAACUGGACGGACCUGACGGUGAGUAACGAAAGCCAGGGGCGC
This 249-nucleotide ribosomal RNA is filed under the name uncultured bacterium. Its description in RNAcentral is "partial 16S ribosomal RNA". It matches the Rfam family "Archaeal small subunit ribosomal RNA", at positions 473 to 720 of the family's 1478-position model. The record is from RNAcentral.